GGAGUGACGUCAUAAACCGGAUAAGUUUCCAUCAUCGCCUUGACAGCCUUUUUCGAUAAUUGCUCGCAGUAAUCUGAGUAGUUGCUUGAAUUUGUACAAUCUCUGUUCCUGCUGGGUACAAUGAAGCCUUUUGUUUAUUAGGGGCUGGAUCGGCCUAUUGACAUUUGGAGAUUGGAUUUCAUAUUAAUAUGCGUAAGCAAAAGCGGGAAUGUUUAGUUUCCCGCGGUCGAGUGCAGUUAUGGAUCCCUUGAAACUUCGAAGGGUUGAAUUGCUUCAUUCUCCUCCAGAUGAGUCAAGGGAAUGGUUUAUCUUAAAUUUCAAGAAAUGUGGCAUAAGAGUCAGCAAGUUUUUUGAAGUAGCCUGUUGGUGGCACAUUUUCCAAGCGUUUUGUACGGUCCAGCUUUAAAAAAUGGCGGAAGCUUGGAUGACCGAUAUGUUCAGAACAACAAAGUGGCCAUCGCCUCUCUAUUUGGAGUUGUUUCUACCAUCUUCCGGCAGAAAUUCGAAGAAGGAGAAGUGGUGAGAUAUCUUUGGUUGAUCGAUAAAAUAAAUUCUUGAUCCUGGAUCAAGAAAAGCUUGGCAAACGUUACUUAGCAUUUUCAAGCUAAGACGAACCGGGUUACUCUUGAUUACAAAACACUGAUAAUGCUGCUCAAGCAAAGAGCUGGUGAUGCCAAAAAAUAUAUCAAUGAACUUUGCAAGCAAGGAUUGGACACAGAGUGCUGUGUAUUCUGCAAAGUUAUUAAGGAAUGUGCCUCUCCUGAUGUUCCUUUUGGGGAAGCCUUUGCUGAGUGUUUCCUAAAGAGCAAAGCAAAUAUUGGGGGGUAGGUACAACUCUGCAUUUCUGCAUUGACAUGCAUAAAAAGUUCCAGCUUGCAGUAUGGUAUUUCACUUUCUAUUGGAAUACAUGUCUUUAAAUCUCACUUGGGAUACUUAGUUUGAUGGACAGUUGGCAUACUGCCGGCCGACAGUUGGCCGACAGACUUUUAGGGG
This is a long non-coding RNA of Stylophora pistillata, 993 nucleotides long. The record is from RefSeq and is a predicted model, not a curated record. Lineage: Eukaryota; Metazoa; Cnidaria; Anthozoa; Scleractinia; Pocilloporidae.